GCUGUCUUAGCUCAGUGGUUGAGCGCGUGACUUUUAAUCCUGUGGCCGAGGGUUCGAUUCCCACAGACAGCG
This is a transfer RNA of Brassica oleracea var. oleracea, 72 nucleotides long. It matches the Rfam family "tRNA". From Rfam's summary of the family: Transfer RNA (tRNA) molecules are approximately 80 nucleotides in length. The record is from Rfam. NCBI's taxonomy places the organism in Eukaryota, Viridiplantae, Streptophyta, Magnoliopsida, Brassicales, Brassicaceae.